CCUACGGGUGGCAGCAGUGGGGAAUAUUGCACAAUGGGGGAAACUCUGAUGCAGCGAUGCCGCGUGAGUGAAGACGUAUUUCUUUAUGUAAAGCUCUUUUAGUAGGGAAGAAAAUGCCGGUACCUGAGUAAGUAGCCCCGGAUAACUACGUUCCAGCAGCCGCGGGAAUACGUAGGCGGCAAGGGUUAUCCGGAUUUAUCGGGUGUAAUGGGAGCGUAGGCGGCAGUACAAGUCUGGAGUGAAAGGCGGGGGCUCAACCCCCGGACUGCUCUGGAUACUGUACGGCUGGAGUGCAGGAGAGGUAAGUGGAAUUCAUGGUGUAGCGGUGAAAUGCGUAGAUAUUAGACAGAACACCGAUGGCGAAGGCAGCUUAC
RNAcentral lists this ribosomal RNA (374 nucleotides) under uncultured bacterium. Its description in RNAcentral is "partial 16S ribosomal RNA". It matches the Rfam family "Bacterial small subunit ribosomal RNA", at positions 338 to 729 of the family's 1533-position model. The record is from RNAcentral.